CGUGUAGGCGGCUAGGUAAGUCGGAUGUGAAAGUCCCGGGCUCAACUCGGGAAGUGCAUUCGAAACUGCUUGGCUAGAGUAAGAGAGAGGAAAGUGGAAUUCCUGGUGUAGAGGUGAAAUUCGUAGAUAUCAGGAGGAACACCGGUGGCGAAGGCGGCUUUCUGGCUCUAUACUGACGCUGAGGUGCGAAGGCGUGGGUAGCAAACAGGAUUAGAUACCCUGGUAGUCC
RNAcentral lists this ribosomal RNA (229 nucleotides) under uncultured bacterium. RNAcentral's name for it is "partial 16S ribosomal RNA". It matches the Rfam family "Bacterial small subunit ribosomal RNA", at positions 568 to 796 of the family's 1533-position model. The record is from RNAcentral.